Molecule: small nucleolar RNA, 138 nt
Organism: Geospiza fortis (medium ground-finch)
Lineage: Eukaryota; Metazoa; Chordata; Aves; Passeriformes; Thraupidae
Source: Ensembl
UUGCAAACUUGAUCACUAGCUCUGCAUGAAGUUGCAGAAGCAAAGGGAACAGGUUUGCUAAAAUAAACAUGGUCAUAGACCCUGUAUUAGCCUUAGAAAUCUCAUUAUUUGGGCUGUUAACUCUAUGCCGUGACAAGG